Molecule: unclassified non-coding RNA, 253 nt
Filed under: uncultured Caryophanales bacterium
Lineage: Bacteria; Bacillati; Bacillota; Bacilli; Caryophanales
Description: uncultured Bacillales bacterium contains 16S-23S intergenic spacer region
Rfam family: Bacterial small subunit ribosomal RNA
Source: RNAcentral
UACGUAGGUGGCAAGCGUUGUCCGGAAUUAUUGGGCGUAAAGCUCGCGCAGGCGGUCCCUUAAGUCUGAUGUGAAAGCCCCCGGCUCAACCGGGGAGGGUCAUUGGAAACUGGGGAGCUUGAGUAUAGGAGAGGAAAGUGGAAUUCCACGUGUAGCGGUGAAAUGCGUAGAGAUGUGGAGGAACACCAGUGGCGAAGGCGACUCUCUGGUCUAUAACUGACGCUGAGGCGCGAAAGCGUGGGGAGCAAACAGG